Molecule: ribosomal RNA, 305 nt
Filed under: uncultured bacterium
Lineage: Bacteria
Description: bacterial SSU rRNA
Rfam family: Bacterial small subunit ribosomal RNA
Source: RNAcentral
GUCCUACGGGAGGCAGCAGUGAGGAAUAUUGGUCAAUGGACGAGAGUCUGAACCAGCCAAGUCGCGUGAAGGAUGACUGCCCUAUGGGUUGUAAACUUCUUUUAUAUGGGAAUAAAGUUUUCCACGUGUGGAAUUUUGUAUGUACCAUAUGAAUAAGGAUCGGCUAACUCCGUGCCAGCAGCGGCGGUAAUACGGAGGAUCCGAGCGUUAUCCGGAUUUAUUGGGUUUAAAGGGAGCGUAGGUGGACAGUUAAGUCAGUUGUGAAAGUUUGCGGCUGAACCGGAAAAUUGCAGUUGAUACUGGCG